AUCUUCUCUAUUACUCACAAAAAUUUCUCGCUCAUUUGGGGUCGAGAUGCGAACCCCAAGACUGGCAAGCUGAUAAACCUCCCGAGCUAGGAGCCUCUGAUCCGCUACCAAGUGAGCCAAACUACACACGGAUUUGAGAAUAAGGGCUUCGGCCACCACAUUCGCCUUACCCGGAUGGUACAAGAUGUUCAUAUCAUAAU
Molecule: long non-coding RNA, 200 nt
Filed under: Nicotiana benthamiana
Lineage: Eukaryota; Viridiplantae; Streptophyta; Magnoliopsida; Solanales; Solanaceae
Description: long non-coding RNA (NBEN_LNC000024)
Source: RNAcentral